Molecule: microRNA, 21 nt
Filed under: Pongo pygmaeus (Bornean orangutan)
Lineage: Eukaryota; Metazoa; Chordata; Mammalia; Primates; Hominidae
Description: ppy-miR-548e
Gene: ppy-miR-548e
Source: miRBase by way of RNAcentral
AAAACGGUGACUACUUUUGCA